UCCUACGGGACGCAGCAGUAGGGAAUUUUCGUCAAUGGGCGCAAGCCUGAACGAGCAAUGCCGCGUGAACGAGGAAGGUCUUCGGAUCGUAAAGUUCUGUUGAAGGGGAAAAAGAGCGGAGAGAGGAAAUGGUCUCCGAUUGAUAUUACCCUUCGAGGAAGUCACGGCUAACUACGUGCCAGCAGCCGCGGUAAUACGUAGGUGGCAAGCGUUAUCCGGAUUUACUGGGUGUAAAGGGCGUGUAGGCGGGGGAGCAAGGCAGACGGGAAAUUCCAGGGCUCAACCCGGGAACUGCGUUUGAAAAU
Molecule: ribosomal RNA, 305 nt
Filed under: uncultured bacterium
Lineage: Bacteria
Description: bacterial SSU rRNA
Rfam family: Bacterial small subunit ribosomal RNA
Source: RNAcentral